CAGGAACAGCAGCUCCGGGGCAGGAACAUGCAAGGAACAGCAAGGAGAAGGCUUCCUGCUGCAAAGGGAUCGCACAAAACCGGGGCGGACCAUCCGAUCCUGUCUUAGUACAAAAAUGACGUGGACAUGCCGGGUACACUGAGCGCGGCCCCCGGAAGGCAGCUGAGCAUCCGCACUGAACACCGCCGGCCCGCGUCUGGUGGGAGGGAUCGCAGCAGACUGAGCUGGCGUCCACGUGAAGGAUGGACUGGAGAAGGCGGGGAGGCGGCUGCGGAGUCAGGCCAGAAGCACCAGGGCAGCUGAAGAAAAGCCAGCAUCUUUGCUGUGCCAGGCCCAGGAGAUGAACGCGCAGCCUGCAUUCAAGUUCACGGUCUGGGAGACAAGACUUUUCCUGUGUGUCAGCUGAAUCUUCCCAGGCAGCCGAGAGCCCUCCCAAGGGGCAGAGGCUGCUUCCUGCUUUUCCUGCAGCCAGGGGGUGGUGACCUCCUGGGGGUGGUGACCUCCUGGUCCUUCUUCCAGGAGUUGAUGCUGCUGACUCUCGCCUCCAUUGUGGGUUGUGACCUCCUGGUCCUUCCUCCAGGAGUUGAUGCUGCUGACUCUUGC
RNAcentral lists this long non-coding RNA (603 nucleotides) under Equus caballus (horse). RNAcentral's name for it is "lncRNA (ENSECAG00000048325.1)". Lineage: Eukaryota; Metazoa; Chordata; Mammalia; Perissodactyla; Equidae. The record is from RNAcentral.